CGCGGAGUAGAGCAGAUGGUAGCUCGUCAGGCUCAUAACCUGAAGGUCACGAGGUUCGAGUCCCGUCUCCGCAACCA
This 77-nucleotide transfer RNA is filed under the name Clostridia bacterium. RNAcentral describes it as "tRNA-Met". It matches the Rfam family "tRNA". From Rfam's summary of the family: Transfer RNA (tRNA) molecules are approximately 80 nucleotides in length. Lineage: Bacteria; Bacillati; Bacillota; Clostridia. The record is from RNAcentral.